Carassius gibelio (silver crucian carp) is the source of this 3223-nucleotide RNA transcript. It is a transcript of the gene named spermatogenesis associated 18, with no coding region annotated. Lineage: Eukaryota; Metazoa; Chordata; Actinopteri; Cypriniformes; Cyprinidae. The transcript has 12 exons. The record is from RefSeq and is a predicted model, not a curated record.
AAAAAAAAAAAAACCAGCUCGUAUGGUUUAGGCUGUCCACAUUGUGCUUAUACAGCUAUAUUUCCUCAAACUGAGAAGUCUAGUAAACCGUUGCUACAACUGAAAGCGCGUCCAUGGUUUCGGCGAAGGUCGAGGGUGUGAAUGGUGGGCUUUUACGAGCAGUAUAAAUACAAAGAGCGUAGUCUCGCGCUGGAUUAAGUGCGCUGGGACGUCCUGAAGCAGGAUUACAGCAGAGAUCUGCAGCUAUGGCUGACACUUUACGACGACUGGUCAACUCAUCUCCGUAUGGUGUUUUGCAGGACAAACUUGAAGCUUGGUACAAAGACUAUCAUGUGUUCUCUUGUGACCAGAACCUGAAUAGGUGCUGUGAGCUAGUGGAGCUCACCUCUAAGAUCCAGGGUCAGUUGUUCACCAUACUCAACCUUACAGCGCAAGAAGGGGGACAUUAUUCAGGUGUAGACACACUGAAAUCUCGCCUUUUGCCAUGGCUUGGCUCUUGCUUCACCAUUGCAGCUUCGUCUGUCUCCGCAGAUACCAGCCUUAGCCUCAUUCAGGAAUCUGUGGAUAAAGAUCGGAGGAUUCGUGAACUAUCCUCAGUUCAUGAGAGCGACAUGCACAAAAUAGAAGACAAGCUGUGUUCUACACGUAUGGAGUUGGACACAGUUAAACAGGAGCUUGCUGACACCCAGAUUGAACUGGACUCCACAAAGAAUAAAUCUGUAACCACCCUCUUGGCCACAGAGGAUGAAAUACUACAUCUAAAGGCAGACUUGCGAGUUGCUCAAGAUCAGGUUGAUCUGUAUAAGAGAAAGCUGGAUGUACUUGAUGACUAUGAGAGGCAGGUCAGAAUCCUACGAGACGAGAUCUCGUUUCUCACUGCUGAAAAAACUGUUCUACAGGAGAGAUUGGUCAGGAGCUGUUCACCUAGUCCUCUUCCCCGCCGCAGUCGCUCCGUUAGCCCUGUGAGGAGUGAGUCUCCUACACGCGCACAGCUCACCAGUUCCUCUCGGCACGCGCGGCUAGUGUCCCGCUUCUCAGACCUGUACGCCACAGAGCGACUGGAGUCUCAGAGUCUCCUGCGCAGAUACAUCGACGACAUGGAAACAGUCCAGAGGAUCCUUUUUAUCGCUGUUGUGGAAUCAUUCCAGGCUGCCAAGAUGGCCUAUCGGCAGUUUAAAUCACGUGUGAGGAAGACACUUUCCUCCACUCACAUUGGUCCUGAGAGUCUGGAGGAUGCAGUGGUGGAUUACAUUGUGAGAAAUCUGGAUCUGUAUGACGUGCAGACAAGCGUUAAUGAUGUGAUAAACGCGAUGAACGUAAACCCACGCAUCUCUUUCCCUCCUGAGGUGGACUUUGUUCUGAUCAGUAGCUUCAUUAGGGAAGCAUGUCGAAUAGCUUUCGCUAUGCAGACUCUGGACCCAGCACUGGACCUGGCCUUCAGCUCAGAUGGAGAACUCUACAGUGAUGUUAAGUACAGGCGCAGCUUUGACUCGGAGUUCACCGCUCCGCUUGUGGCGCAUCACGUGUGGCCUGCACUGUUGGAGGGAGACACGGUCAUACUGAAGGGAGAGGCGGUCACUAGGAGAGGAGCUCUGUGGAGAAGCAGGAGUCGUAGCUCCAGUCCGGUUCGCUCUCGCUCAGGAAGCCCCAGCCGCACAUUUGUGAGUUUCUACUGACAACUCCAGCAGUUAGUCUUCCAAUUCAAGCAAUAAUUCACAUACAAAUAUUAAAUUGUUAUUAUUUACACACCUUUACAUGUUUCUAUGGGACAUAAAGUUAUUUAUAGCAGAAUGUUUAAAGGUGCUGUUUUCUUUUAUAAUGAAAGCGACUUGUGUCCAAAGCUGUCAAGCAAGAUUUUCAGUGAAUAAUGAUUUAAGUCAGCCUGUUGCUCACACAAAACGAUCAUAUUUUUAAAGUUAAUUUAUGGUGUGUGUUGGAGCUUGACAACCCAUGGUCCCCAUCCACUUUCACUGCAUGAAAGAGAGCAGCUUAGACUUUCUGCUAAACCUCUGCUAAGCUUGAUCCAGGUUUAGAGAAAAAGGGUGAACAAACUGUCAGAAUUUUCAUUUUGUGGCAAACUAUUCCUAAAACAUUAUAGUCCACAAUAUAGUAUACAGUCCACAAUUCAGUGUGCGCAUUAGUUUAGAAAUUAAGUUUUCUUCAUUUUCUUGCACAUGCUUCCUCACUGAGUCUGUGGAUGCCCAGUCGUAGUCGAAGCCCUUCCCCUGGACGUCUCUCAAGUAAUCGACUUUAAAAUUAGAUAUGACCUCACUUCACGCUGGAUACAGAUCCAAACAGAAGCAGAAUAAUCAAAAAAAAAAUUUUUUUUUCCAGUUUUAACAUAUUCUUUUCUAUGUGUGGGAUGAAUUAGAAACUAAAGUGGAUAACAGUUACCUUUAUUACUGACUCUGUACCUAUGAAGAAUGGAGUCAUUUGUCAUUUUUAAACAGACUGCACUAUUAUUUACAAGCUCCACCUUAAUAUUCUGAGUGGACUGCACUUGACUUGACUGUACUUGAUUUGAUUGGCCAGUUAAACCUUAAUUAUAUUUGAUCAGCACCAUGAAUAUGCAUUAUACUGAUCUGUGACUCAAAGUGAGGGAACAGCUCUCUAAACGUUAACAUUUUACUCAGUGAGUCUAACAGGACCAUUGCAAUUUUACACUACCAUUUUUUCAUUCAUAUUUGUAAUACAUUUUUGAAUGGUGGUGUAUGUGCUUGUUAAGGUGCUCUGUUUGUCUGUGAUAACUGGACAAGUCCUUUAAGGUGCUAUUCUUUCUCAUUUUUAGUGUGCAGUGUUUUCAUACAUAUAUAUGUGAUUUUUAUUUAUACAGUAGGAAAUAGAAAAUCUGUUGUCUUCGAAGUCACACCUGCACACCAGCACUUUUGUAAUUCGGAAUCCCUAUAGAAUAUUAAUAUUUAAAAUUUUUAUUUCUGUCAUCACUGCAUAAAAGUGCUGUAUGUGAAGUGUUUACUGAACUGUAGUACAUAAUCUGUAGACACUAAAACAAUAUUUUACAUUCAUUGAAUGUAUUUUCCCUUUAAGACCACUUUUAAUGUCAAUUUGUAUUUUUUCCUAAUGUUGGUGUUAUUAUUAUUAUUAUUUUUUUUAUUGGGUGCAAAAGAAUCAGACUGCAGUGUUACAGUAUAAGUUUAAGGGUGCUCAGUCUGUUCUUCUGUCAUGGUUACUCAAAUCAUUUAUUAAAUUUGUCUAAACAUACAAA